UACGUAGGUGGCGAGCGUUGUCCGGAAUUACUGGGUGUAAAGGGCGUGUAGGCGGGGAUACAAGUCAGAUGUGAAAUACCGAGGCUUAACUUCGGGGCUGCAUCUGAAACUGUGUCUCUUGAGUGUCGGAGAGGAAAGUGGAAUUCCCAGUGUAGCGGUGAAAUGCGUAGAUAUUGGGAGGAACACCAGUGGCGAAGGCGACUUUCUGGCCAGUUACUGACGCUCAUGCGCGAAAGCUGGGGUAGCGAACCGGAUUAGAUACCCGGGUAGGUCCCU
Molecule: ribosomal RNA, 276 nt
Filed under: uncultured prokaryote
Description: partial 16S ribosomal RNA
Rfam family: Bacterial small subunit ribosomal RNA
Source: RNAcentral